Humulus lupulus (European hop) is the source of this 1617-nucleotide RNA transcript. RefSeq lists it as uncharacterized. The transcript has 6 exons. NCBI's taxonomy places the organism in Eukaryota, Viridiplantae, Streptophyta, Magnoliopsida, Rosales, Cannabaceae. The record is from RefSeq and is a predicted model, not a curated record.
UUCAAAAUGAAAAUGUGGGUUUUAUUGUUCUUGAAAUUCAGAAAUUGCAUGUUAAUUUUGAGUUUUUUUUUAUUGGUGGGUUUCUUGCUUCUUUUGUUUCUAAAUGUUCAUUUGGCUUAUGAAUUUACUGUGUUUAUGUAAAACAAUUAUGACUAUUAUGUUGAAAAAUUGAGAUGAAUUUGUUGGAUUGCAAGUUUAGGAUUUAAAAACUCAAUUAGUUAAGACAUUUCUAGCUUCAACAUAUUGUGGAUUUACUGAUUUAAUUACAAUCAUUAAAUAGUUUUCUAAUUUAAUAAAGCUUCUAUUAUGUAGCACAACUGUGUUUGGAGUUUCCACAUAAUCUAUGCAACUAUCUUAUGAUUCUAAAGGGAAUAGUGUACCAACAAUUCUCUUGCUUAUGCAAGGCCACUUAUAUGCUCAAGGAGGCCUAAGGGCAGAAGGGAUCUUCAGGAUCAAUGUAGGAAAUAGUCAAGAGGAGAUUGUUUGGGAUGGCUAGGGAGAAGACUAUUUUCCAUGAAUUUUUUGGAAAAAAACAAUGGUUGGUAUGCAUUUAUAAAGUAGAAAUGAGGCAAUUUUUAGGAAAAAAACAAUGGUUGGAGCAGUCUCAGUUGAUGUCAAUGGAUCAUGUGAGAGGGGUAAAUGUUGCAAACUUAGCUGAUAUGGAGCAAAGUCGUAUGCUUGCUAAUACAUUAGCUCAGAACAAUGAUCCUAAAUUUCAUGUUUGUAAGCUAUGUUAUUGCAUGGGAAGAAAAGUAAAGCACGAGGUCCCUGAAGAUUGGGUCUGUGAAUCUGGGAAGAGAGAUGAAGCUGUCACAAUAGCAAUGAGCAAGGGGCAAUUGUCAAUUUCACAGCUUCAUUCCAAGAAGAAAAAGCCAGUAGAAAUUGGUAAAGUUAAGUUCAUUCCUCAUGAAGAAAUCCUUAAGCUAUCUUCAGAGACCUUCAAUGAGUCAAGAGAAAUAACUCGAACAAAAUGACAGCAUGUAUCUAGCAAAGUUGGAAUUUCAAAUAAAAAGAUAGAGAAGAAACUAGUCAAAGAACAAUGCACAUUGUUGCCAUCAUCACUUGAUGUUAGUGCAGGUGGUAAAACUAAGGAUGUUCAAGGAGACCUGCCAAAUUUCCCACUUAGUUUUACCUUGUAUAUCACAUAUUUUCCCGCUCCAGAUGUAACUUGGAAGUGGGUAACUUAUCCUUUAAUUUUAUUUCUUUAAUUAUUUUUUCUCUUACUUGAAAAUUCUUGAAUUUCUACUAAUAAUAAAAAAUUGUGAUGCUGUGAAAUCAUUCCUUGCUUGAAAAGAAAAAUGCUCAGGCAUUUUUUUUUGGUGUAGCACUCCUUGCUUUAAGGAAUACUCAAUGCUUCUUUGUGACUGACACUUGUGGUUGUAGUUUUGAUAGUUUUUCAUGAGGGCCUCUUUGCUGACUUUGUUGUUCUCUGUUUGUAGUUUUAUGUCUUAUAUGUACUAUCUUAGUCUGAGGCUGUCUAGACUGUAAUACAGUACAGGUGAUUUCUUAUCAUCUUUUUUUAAUACAAUCUUGUUUGGUUGGGAUUGAAAUGAUAGUGUUUAUGUGAGAAUAGAAAUAGAAUGGGAAAGAAAUAUCAAUUCUUUUGUGUGGUUGAAA